This is a long non-coding RNA of Ficedula albicollis (Collared flycatcher), 1016 nucleotides long. RefSeq lists it as uncharacterized. The transcript is spliced from 3 exons. NCBI's taxonomy places the organism in Eukaryota, Metazoa, Chordata, Aves, Passeriformes, Muscicapidae. The record is from RefSeq and is a predicted model, not a curated record.
AUGCGGAUUUUGGGGUGAAAAAGGCGGAUUUGGGGGGGUGGGAAGGAAAUCCUGAAGUGAAAUGUUCAAGUUGUGAGCGGAAAAGUGCGAGUUUUGGGGUGAAAAGCGCAGAUUUUGGGUCGGAGGCGGAUUUUGUGGUGGGGAGGAAAUCGUGAGGUAAAAAGUGGAGAUUUGGAGAGAAAAAAUGAGAUUUUGUGACGUAGAAUCAGAGAUUUUGAGGUAAAAAUGCAGAUUUUGAGGUGAAAAGUGCAGAUUUUGAGGUGAAAAGCGCAGAUUUUGGGUCGGAGGCACAUUUUGUGGUGGGGAGGAAAUCGUGAGGUGAAAGGUGAAGGUCUUGAGGGAAAACCGGAGAUUUUGAGGUAAAAUUUGCGGAUUUUGGCAGCCGGGAGCAAAUCGUGAGGUAAAAAGUGAAGCUUUUGAGGGGGAAAAAGCAGAUUUUGAGGUAAAAAUGCAGAUUUUGGGGUGAAAAGCGCAGAUUUUGGGUCGGAGGCAGGUUUUGUGGUGGGGAGGAAAUCGUGAGGUGAAAAGUGCAGAUUUUGAGGUGAAAAGCGCAGAUUUUGGGUCGGAGGCACAUUUUGUGGUGGGGAGGAAAUCGUGAGGUGAAAAGUGAAGAUUUUGAGGGAAACCCGGAGAUUUUGAGAUUAAAAUGCAGAUUUUGAGAUUGAAAUGCAGAUUUUGAGAUUAAAGUGCAGAUUUUGAGAAGUGAAAAAUGCAGAUUUUGGGAUCUGGGGGAGAUUUUGUAGUGGGGGAGGGAAAAGUAAAGAUUUUGAGGGGGGGAAAAAAAAAGCGGAUUUGCUGGUAAAAAUGUGGAUUUUGAGGUUAAAAUUCCAGAUUUUGAGGUAAAAAUUGCAGAUGUUGAGGUUAAAAUUGCGGAUUUUGGUGGUUGGAAGGAAGUCCUGAGGUAAAAAGUGAAGAUUUUGAGGGGGGGGGAAAAGAAAGGUUUUGAGGUAAAAAUGCAGGUUUUGGGGUGCAAAAGCUGAACUUUGCGUAAAAUAAAAGAGGGAUUUUGGUGAAAA